GGUGUUUCACAAUAGAAAUCAUUUACCAGAGUCCAGAGUUUGUUCUCAUAAUCUCAUCAUCAUCGAGUUCAAUCCCCUCUGAUUCAAUAGAAGAAGAAGUCGAAGCAGUUUUAUACGAGACUGGAGUCUGCGAGAUUCAGAUCGGUGGAAAGAAGAGCGUUUCGUAUCGAAGAUCGUUAGGAUACGAGAAAGAAGAGGAGAGAUUGAAGAUUUUGGUCGAACAGGUUGCUGGGUUUUCGAAGAGAGUGACAGUGUUAGAAAAACUGAGAACAAAACUGCAGCUGACAUCAAACCUAUCCAGUACGAACUUUGAAGCACCCAAGUGGCCAAGUAUGUGCAACAUAAAAAAAGUUAUGCUGGAAGAACAUAGGAUGGUUUCAAACAGGCUCUAGAGGUCGGUGAAAAAGUUCACACAGUGGAACAUUCUAAGGAUUUACCCCAAAGAAACUUAAAGUUGCCUCCUCAAAUUACCAACCACAUGUUGGAUGGAUGCAUGGAGCUCAAAUGGCUGUGUCUAAUGUGCAGGGAUGUGAAAGAUCACUAUGGUUGAUGCAUGGGAUGUUUACAGCCAAUGAUGAGGCCCUGCCUUUUUUAUGCACAAGGGCUUAAAUGAUGAGGUUUUUUAUCCUAAAAAGACCUUGAUAGUGACAAAGACAUUGAAGGUAAAAGCAUUUAUGGCUAAUGGAUGUCACUUGGAUUUUAAUCAACCCCCUUGAUUCAUUCUCCCCACAGACUUCUACACAAAAGUUAGUAAGUAUGUUGCAGAGCUCUGAUCACGUCAUAUGCAGCUGGUUGUUUAAUAGGUAACACAAUCCAUCUUUACAUUUCAAUGCCUUAUUGAUUAAUGUUUGUGCUUACUCCAUACAAAACCAUUUCAAUGAUUUCAAUUUACAGAACCAAAUAAUCACUCUUUCUUAUUGAUUGACAUUAUUACUUAUGUUUUCCAAUUACAACAGCUCCUGAAAUUUUGGAGCACUUAUCAUUUGUCGCAAAUGACGAAUCGGACUUUGUACAUAGACACCUACUGUUGUUAGGAUAUUUAACUUUGAAAUCUAGAUAACUUACCAGAAUUUUGAACAUGUAAAACAAUAUAUAAUAUUUAAUGUAGCAAUGUAAUAUAACAAUGUUUCUAAAUUCAGUAGCAUCGAAUCAAACAAUAUUUGCUUAUAUU
Molecule: long non-coding RNA, 1171 nt
Filed under: Rosa chinensis
Lineage: Eukaryota; Viridiplantae; Streptophyta; Magnoliopsida; Rosales; Rosaceae
Description: sRNA RchiOBHm_Chr2g0086991
Source: RNAcentral